This is a long non-coding RNA of Neofelis nebulosa (Clouded leopard), 534 nucleotides long. RefSeq lists it as uncharacterized. The record is from RefSeq and is a predicted model, not a curated record. Lineage: Eukaryota; Metazoa; Chordata; Mammalia; Carnivora; Felidae. The transcript is spliced from 3 exons.
AGGAAGUGAGAUGCCUCUCUCGCCCAGGGGCACUGGGACACCUUUGUGGCCAUCGAAGUAACAGCUCUUCAAUUGAGUUAAAAGGUCAGGCGUGAGGGAAGAAGACCUGGCCGCCCACAGAUAUCUUUUUCAUGCACUGAAUGUCCCUGUGCGCAUCGCUUUAAAUGGAUAUUUCCUGUCUCAAUUUUGACCACCGGUUCUUCCCCCACUAACGUAUAGACGCAGCCAAUUGGCAGAGAGAGUCAGGGGGGCUCAAACGGGAGCAUCGGAAAAAGAAUCACACGUGGCGAUGGAUGAGCAGUAAUUCCAUUUCCAGGCAUCCUCGCGAAAGAAUUGAAUACAGGGGCUCAGACACGUGCUUGUACGCGAACGAUCACAGCAGCAUUCACCGCAACAGAUGAAAGGCGGAAACACCCCAUGCCCAUCAAUCAGUGAACAGAUAAACACAAUGUGAUUAUGGAAGGCAUCCUGGAGGAAGUGAUUACUCAGCUGAGCCUUGAGGAAUGUUGAAAGCUGUCCAGGUGAAGAAAUGCA